GAGUUUACAACUCCCAAACCCAAUGUGAACGUUACCAAUCUGUUGCCUCGGCGGGAUUCUCUGCCCCGGGCGCGUCGCAGCCCCGGAUCCCAUGGCGCCCGCCGGAGGACCAACUCAAACUCUUUUUUCUCUCCGUCGCGGCCUACGUCGCGGCUCUGUUUUAUUUUUGCUCUGAGCCUUUCUCGGCGACCCUAGCGGGCGUCUCGAAAAUGAAUCAAAACUUUCAACAACGGAUCUCUUGGUUCUGGCAUCGAUGAAGAACGCAGCGAAAUGCGAUAAGUAAUGUGAAUUGCAGAAUUCAGUGAAUCAUCGAAUCUUUGAACGCACAUUGCGCCCGCCAGUAUUCUGGCGGGCAUGCCUGUCCGAGCGUCAUUUCAACCCUCGAACCCCUCCGGGGGGUCGGCGUUGGGGAUCGGCCCCUCACCGGGCCGCCCCCGAAAUGCAGUGGCGGUCUCGCCGCAGCCUCUCCUGCGCAGUAGUUUGCACACUCGCACCGGGAGCGCGGCGCGGCCACAGCCGUAAAACACCCCAAACUCUGAAAUGUUGACCUCGGAUCAGGUAGGAAUACCCGCUGAACUUAAGCAUAUCAAUAA
RNAcentral lists this ribosomal RNA (593 nucleotides) under Trichoderma citrinoviride. RNAcentral describes it as "eukaryotic LSU rRNA". The stretch from base 219 to 372 matches the Rfam family "5.8S ribosomal RNA". Lineage: Eukaryota; Fungi; Ascomycota; Sordariomycetes; Hypocreales; Hypocreaceae. The record is from RNAcentral.